RNAcentral lists this ribosomal RNA (667 nucleotides) under uncultured Vibrionaceae bacterium. RNAcentral's name for it is "bacterial SSU rRNA". It matches the Rfam family "Bacterial small subunit ribosomal RNA", at positions 1 to 671 of the family's 1533-position model. The record is from RNAcentral. Lineage: Bacteria; Pseudomonadati; Pseudomonadota; Gammaproteobacteria; Vibrionales; Vibrionaceae.
UAGAGUUUGAUCAUGGCUCAGAUUGAACGCUGGCGGCAGGCCUAACACAUGCAAGUCGAGCGGUAACAUGUCUAGCUUGCUAGAUGAUGACGAGCGGCGGACGGGUGAGUAAUGCUUGGGGAUCUGCCUUAGAGUGGAGGAUAACCAUUGGAAACGAUGGCUAAUACUGCAUAGUAUCUGCGGAUUAAAGGGGGCUUAGGCUCUUGCUUUAAGAUGAACCCAAGUGGGAUUAGCUAGUUGGUGAGGUAAUGGCUCACCAAGGCGACGAUCCCUAGCUGGUCUGAGAGGAUGAUCAGCCACACUGGAACUGAGACACGGUCCAGACUCCUACGGGAGGCAGCAGUGGGGAAUAUUGCACAAUGGGCGAAAGCCUGAUGCAGCCAUGCCGCGUGUGUGAAGAAGGCCCUAGGGUUGUAAAGCACUUUCAGUCAGGAGGAAAGGUUAGUAGUUAAUACCUGCUAGCUGUGACGUUACUGACAGAAGAAGCACCGGCUAACUUCGUGCCAGCAGCCGCGGUAAUACGAGGGGUGCAAGCGUUAAUCGGAAUUACUGGGCGUAAAGCGAGCGUAGGCGGCUGAAUAAGCUGGAUGUGAAAAACCGGGGCUCAACCUCGGCCGUGCAUUCAGAACUGUUUAGCUAGAGUCCUGUAGAGGGGGGUAGAAUUUCA